Non-coding RNA from Lolium perenne, 976 nucleotides. NCBI's taxonomy places the organism in Eukaryota, Viridiplantae, Streptophyta, Magnoliopsida, Poales, Poaceae. The record is from RefSeq and is a predicted model, not a curated record.
CUUGUGCCUGUGGGUUGCUCUCGGUGGUGAUGCCUACUGUUCGAAACAAAAACAAAAACAAGUUUUGCUCUCAAUCCCCUGCCAUCCCCUCCCCGUCUCAUUUUACCUCAUGUCAAGAUUGAUUCAGUUUCUUGCAUAUUCAAACUCUGUACCUGAAUAUUUCCAGGUUGUGUUCAGUUAAGAUCCACUUUUUGUAUUGAAUUAAGUUGUAAUUACUCAAAAUUAGUAUGUGAAAAAUAAAUAAUAAAGCUAAUUAGCUUUACACUAGAAAAACAAGACGCCAGCAUAUAAACUUUUCAGUCUUACUUAUCUGCAGAUUGGUGGCUUAUAAAAAAACCAAUAGCAUACUCGACUCCUCCUCUGUUGAUCCAGGUGAGGCCAUGCUUCAGCACCUACCCCUUUUCUUUUGUAGUUCAUAAAUAUCCUUUAUUAGAUCUAUAAAGUAUAGUGCUGCAUAAGUUACUCCACUGUAUUAUCUGGUUACCGUCCUCCUUUGAAAAACUGAUUGAUGCUCCCAGGGACAUUUUUUUUUGUUUCAGCACAUAUGCCUAGGUUCGUAUGUGAAUUAUUUUCCUUGGUGUUUUGAUAUCCAGUGGGAUGGUGGCAAGGAGUUUCAAGGUGCACGCGAGCUUCUUCUUCUGUUAUUGAUGCCACCUGCCAUGUAUUCCAGAGUAAAUAGCACCACAUGCUUGUGCUACCUAUCACAACUCUGGACAUGUUUACUUCCUUCCUUUUCAUCUUGAGGCAACCUCCAGUGACAAAACAAGGAGUGAAGAUGGUGUUGUGUUGCUUUGUACAUGUGAGCAACAUAUUGCAGAAAGGUUUUCUGCACGCGAGGACAUGACCCAUUUAUACAAUCAAGCAUCAAUGGUUACAAGAGAAUGGGAUGUACAAGAGUUGUCUGGUAGGCAUACCUGCACUAAUCCUUGACAAGCCAGAUCCAUGAAUAUGCCUUCCUUGCUUUUACUGUUGGUGU